ACACCUCUAUGGUAGUCGGCUUCUCAUCACAUAAGAGAGCAUCGAUCAACCCUUUCUAGAUAAGCACGUCUUUUACUCUUGCCUGCCAUAAGGAGAAAUUGCUCUUUCCAUCAAAUCUGUUGAUCUCCAUCUUGAUUGUGCUUAUCUUUUCUAUCUUCUAUCUUGAUCACCACCACUGCAACCUACACUCUGGCAUCACCUUGCUCUGAUAUCAAUUGUUGCUUCAGGAUC
This 231-nucleotide long non-coding RNA is filed under the name Elaeis guineensis (African oil palm). Its description in RNAcentral is "long non-coding RNA (EGUI_LNC041129)". Lineage: Eukaryota; Viridiplantae; Streptophyta; Magnoliopsida; Arecales; Arecaceae. The record is from RNAcentral.